This 71-nucleotide transfer RNA is filed under the name Asthenognathus inaequipes. RNAcentral's name for it is "tRNA-Leu". The record is from RNAcentral. Lineage: Eukaryota; Metazoa; Arthropoda; Malacostraca; Decapoda; Varunidae.
UACUACUUUGGCAGAACAAUGUAAAGGAUUUAGGACCCUGAUAUAUAGAUUUAUUAAUCUAUAAGUAGUAU